Molecule: ribosomal RNA, 293 nt
Filed under: uncultured bacterium
Lineage: Bacteria
Description: partial 16S ribosomal RNA
Rfam family: Archaeal small subunit ribosomal RNA
Source: RNAcentral
GUGCCAGCCGCCGCGGUAAUACCGGCAGCACGAGUGAUGACCGCUAUUAUUGGGCCUAAAGCGUCCGUAGCCGGCCGAAUAAGUCCGUCGGGAAAUCCGCACGCCUAACGUGCGGGCGUCCGGCGGAAACUGUUCGGCUUGGGACCGGAAGGCUCGAGGGGUACGUCUGGGGUAGGAGUGAAAUCCCGUAAUCCUGGACGGACCACCGGUGGCGAAAGCGCCUCGAGAGGACGGAUCCGACGGUGAGGGACGAAAGCUAGGGUCACGAACCGGAUUAGAUACCCUGGUAGUCC